This is a non-coding RNA of Prunus avium (sweet cherry), 789 nucleotides long. The record is from RefSeq and is a predicted model, not a curated record. NCBI's taxonomy places the organism in Eukaryota, Viridiplantae, Streptophyta, Magnoliopsida, Rosales, Rosaceae.
CAACCCCACGACUGAAACACUUAUUAGUAAGAUAACCCCCCUUAGGAUAUCUUCUAACUUGCAUUCGGGAGGAACCAAAAGUAUCUGUAUGAAGGAAGGCGUCGGGGCAACGUAUCCAAAAUUAUUUGUGUAUAUGCUCCAUACCUACCAGCUUACUUACACUUUUUAAUUGGUUGGCACACAAAGAUGUUUGAUCCGCCAUUGCAGGAGAGGGUGGGAAGGAAAAGAGGGAAGCUUUCAUUCAUCCUGUUUGUUUAUCAUCAUUUAAUUUCUUACAGAUACAAGGAAUCAACCACCACAAUGGCUUUUGGCUAGGUGCUGGAGCAGCAGUUGUGUUGGCCACAGAUGGACUUGCCACAUAAGCAGCAGCUGUCUGUGCCGAUGAUGAUGACCCUUCUUGUGCUGAUACACCAGUGUGUGGAGGAUUGGCACAUGUCGAUGAUUUGUUUCUCGACCUCUUUUUGCCCAUUAGUCUGAGGUAAAGGCUUCUUCAUUCCUUGAACCAUUUUUGAGUUCGCACAAAGAAGUUUGGGAUAGUGAAGCGUGCGUCAAGCUUGGGUUACAGUUGGGAAAAAUACUAGUUUUCUUCGAAUUCGAGUUAAGAGUAUUGAGGACCUAUGAGCAAGCCCAAUGGGGGCCGUAAAUCAGGCUGCAUCACAACAAUCAAAAUCAGCCACUCCAGCAAGAAUUCAUUUGCUCUCACAGCAGGACUCUCAGUCCCUUUCUCAGAUGCUCCGAUUUCAAUUUCUUGCACUCAGAACUGUAGCAGAGAACUGUAGCAGCUCCACA